GUGUCAGAUCUCCUGCACUCAGGCUGCAAAAGCUCACACAGCUUGUCUGCCUCCACAUGACCUCUGGAAGUGCUGCCCACCAAGCCCGGCACCAGGACUCUGGUGUCUCUGCUUCAGGUCAGUGCUCUGAACAAGGCUAUGGCAUCCUAAGGCAUCAGGGACAUAAGGUUCAACCCAGCUUGAUCCAGAGCUCCUGCCCUUCAGAUCUCUUGGACUGAAGCACCUCGAGUUUUUUUCUCCCUAAAAGAAAGCCAGUGCUGCAGACUUGGCGACACAUGCCUGGAAUCCGACCCUGGGGACACCGACUUAUAAGGAUCACUUUUCAUUCUGCCAUGACGCCAGUGGAGUGGUGCUAUCCACAGGAGGCGGAGCGCCGACAGUUUCGGGGUGAGCAUGCUGUAUGGUAUAGGUACAUGCCUAUAAUACCCGCACUAUGGAAGUGAAGGCAGGAGCAUCGUGCAGUGGCUAUUCCUGACUGUCAACUUGACUGUAUCUGGAAUGAACUGCAAUCCAGAAUUGUAAGGCUCACCUGUGAUCCUAAUAUGGAGGCUCAGAGAUACAAGUUUCUGACCUGGAUCUUGGCAUGGAGAUUUUGAAGAAUAUGAAUUCCAGAAGAUUAAGACAAGGAGAUCGCCAAGUUCUAGGUCAUUUGGGAUUAAAGGCGAGGUGACACACAUGCCUUUGAUCUGGGCCACGCCCUCUGCUGGAGACCUACUUAAGGACAUUGGAAGAAGGAAGACUCUCUCUCUUUCUUGCCUGCUUGCCUUGUGGGACUGAGCAACUGCUAGAUCCUUGGACUUCGAUUCACAGCUGCUGCUGACCAUUGUUGGAGAGCUGGACUACAGACUAUAAGUCAUCAACAAACUGCCUAACUAUAUAGAGACUACCCAUAUGUUCUGUGACUCUAGAGAACCCUGACUAAUACACAUCAGAAUUCAAGUUCAUCUUCCACUUUGUAGCAAGUCUAAGUUUAGCCUGAACGUCAUGACACCCCACCUCAAAGAAAAAUAAAUGAAUAAAUGAAUAAAUAAAUAAAUAAGUAAAUUCACUUCAACAAUACCAGCAAUAGAUUGGUUUUCUCCAUUAUAUUCCCACUCUGUAAAACCAAAGCUCCCAACAUCAUAUGAUAUAAUUACUGAAAUGAGAGGAUGCAGACUCUAGCUAACAACCUGUCCGUGCCCUUAGGGAAGCUGGUGUUGCUGAGUCAGAAAUAAUCUUGCUUUUAAUACCUUUUAGCUCAUGUGUUCAUUAUCUGAAGGACUCCAACGCUGUUCUCUGAUAUAAAUUAAGAGGCUGCUUCAUACAUUUUACAACUACAGCUUACUUCUUAUUCUAAAAUUUUGCAUUCUCUUAUCCCCUCUUAUGAAAUGUCUACAGGGAAAAGGGCCAUAGGAUUGCUUCACGAUCUAAAGCAGACCGCGGACAUUUGCUGAU
Apodemus sylvaticus (European woodmouse) is the source of this 1434-nucleotide long non-coding RNA. RefSeq lists it as uncharacterized. The transcript has 4 exons. Lineage: Eukaryota; Metazoa; Chordata; Mammalia; Rodentia; Muridae. The record is from RefSeq and is a predicted model, not a curated record.